UACAGAGGCCACGAGCGUUAGUCGGAAUCACUGGGCUUAAAGGGUGCGUAGGCGGGCUCGCAAGCGUCUUGUGAAAGCCCCCGGCUCAACCGGGGAACCGCAGGGCGAACUGCGAGUCUUGAGGCAGGUAGGGGCCGGGAGAACAGUAGGUGGAGCGGUGAAAUGCGUAGAUAUCUACUGGAAUGCCGAUGGGGAAGCCGUCCGGCUGGGCCUGUCCUGACGCUGAGGCACGAAAGCGUGGGGAGCAAACAGG
RNAcentral lists this ribosomal RNA (253 nucleotides) under uncultured bacterium. Its description in RNAcentral is "partial 16S ribosomal RNA". It matches the Rfam family "Bacterial small subunit ribosomal RNA", at positions 524 to 776 of the family's 1533-position model. The record is from RNAcentral.